Molecule: ribosomal RNA, 1237 nt
Filed under: metagenome
Description: bacterial LSU rRNA
Rfam family: Bacterial large subunit ribosomal RNA
Source: RNAcentral
UGAAUACGAGACGCUAAGGCGUCGAAGUAGUGUAUGUCAUACUUCCAAGAAAAGCUUGCACUGUCAUAGAUAAAAAACGCCUGUACCAUAACCGACACAGGUGGGUAGGUAGAGUAUACUAAGGGGCGCGAGAUAACUCUCUCUAAGGAACUCGGCAAAAUAACUCCGUAACUUCGGGAGAAGGAGUGCCUUAUUCUUAAGGUUGCAAUAACAAGAUCCAAGCAACUGUUUAUCAAAAACACAGGUCUCCGCUAAGUCGUAAGACGAUGUAUGGGGGCUGACGCCUGCCCAGUGCCAGAAGGUUAAAGAAGCUGGUUAGCAAUUGCGAAGCUGGUGACUGAAGCCCUGGUGAACGGCGGCCGUAACUAUAACGGUCCUAAGGUAGCGAAAUUCCUUGUCGGGUAAGUUCCGACCCGCACGAAAGGCGUAAUGAUUUGGAUACUGUCUCGGAGAGGGGCUCGGUGAAAUAGACUUGUCUGUGAAGAUGCGGACUACCUGCACCAGGACAGAAAGACCCUAUGAAGCUUUACUGUAACUUGAAAUUGAAAUUGGACUUUAUUCGCGCAGCAUAGGUGGGAGGCGUUGAUUAUAAUCUUGCGGGAUUAUUGGAGCCAUUAGUGAGAUACCACUCUUGUAAUGUUAGAUUUCUAACUUUGAAUCAUUAUCUGGUCAAAGGACAGUUUCAGGCGGGCAGUUUGACUGGGGCGGUCGCCUCCCAAACGGUAACGGAGGCGUACAAAGGUUUCCUCUGAACGGUUAGAAAUCGUAUCUAGAGUGUAAAGGCAUAAGGAAGCUUGACUGUGAGACCUACAAGUCGAGCAGGGACGAAAGUCGGUCUUAGUGAUCUGACGGUACUGAGUGGAAAGGCCGUCACUCAACGGAUAAAAGUUACUCUAAGGAUAACAGGCUGAUCUCCCCCAAGAGUUCACAUCGACGGGGAGGUUUGGCACCUCGAUGUCGGCUCAUCGCAUCCUGGGGCGGUAGUACGUCCCAAGGGUUGGGCUGUUCGCCCAUGAAAGCGGUACGCGAGCUGGGUUCAGAACGUCGUGAGACAGUUCGGUCCAUAUCCGGUGUAGGCGUUAGAAUAUUGAGAGGAGCCUUCUUUAGUACGAGAGGACCGAGAAGGACAUACCUCUGGUGUACCAGUUAUCGUGCCAACGGUAAACGCUGGGUAGCUAUGUAUGGAGUGGAUAACCGCUGAAAGCAUCUAAGUGGGAAGCCCACCUCAAGAUAAGUA